RNAcentral lists this ribosomal RNA (576 nucleotides) under uncultured eukaryote. Its description in RNAcentral is "SSU rRNA". It matches the Rfam family "Eukaryotic small subunit ribosomal RNA", at positions 174 to 757 of the family's 1831-position model. The record is from RNAcentral.
UAAAAACCCCGACUUCGGAAGGGGUGUAUUUAUUAGAUACAAAACCAAUGCCCUUCGGGGCUCUUUGGUGAUUCAUGAUAACUAUACGAAUCGCACGGCCUUGCGCCGGCGAUGGUUCAUUCAAAUUUCUUCCCUAUCAACUUUCGAUGUUUGGGUAUUGGCCAAACAUGGUUGCAACGGGUAACGGAGGGUUAGGGCUCGACCCCGGAGAAGGAGCCUGAGAAACGGCUACUACAUCCAAGGAAGGCAGCAGGCGCGCAAAUUACCCAAUCCCGACUCGGGGAGGUAGUGACAAUAAAUACUGAUACAGGGCCCUUUCGGGCCUUGUAAUUGGAAUGAGUACAAUUUAAAUCCCUUAACGAGGAACAAUUGGAGGGCAAGUCUGGUGCCAGCAGCCGCGGUAAUUCCAGCUCCAAUAGCGUAUAUUAAAGUUGUUGUGGUUAAAAAGCUCGUAGUUGAACCUUGGGCCUGGCUGGCCGGUCCGCCUCACCGCGUGCACUGGUCCGGCCGGGCCUUUCCCUCUGUGGAACUCCAUACCCUUCACUGGGCGUGGCGGGGAAACAAGACAUUUUACUU